CAGCUGAAACAUUUCCUUACUCUCAGCUUCUCUCUCUUCUCCUUCAAGAAACGUUUCCUUACUCUCAGCUUCUCCCUCUUCUCCUUCAAGAACUCCUCAAGGAGGCUUUUAACUCUCACAUUCAAUCUCAUAGAGGUUUCAAAAUCAAAACUGGUUUCAUCCACCUCCAAUUCCAAAUUCCUCUUGCACCCUCUUCAAAACCCUAGACUCCACCAACCCCAACUUUGUCGCAUGCCUCCGCUAAGCAUUCGCGCCCGAUGCUUUGGUCCAGAUCCUUCUCGUCCUCCUCCAUGCUCCAACACAAUUCCCCAUUCCCAAAAUUUCUCAUUCUCCCUUUCCUCUUCGAACCCAAAAUUUCAUACUUUCGUUUCGUUCAUUCGGCGUAGAAGCAAAAGAGAGAGAGAGAGAGAGAGAGGGAAAAAGGUUGCUACCAACAAGAAACAAACACAGUGUUGCUUGAUUCCACGGUGGCCAGAACCAACGUUAGCAGGGGAGGAGAGGGGCAAAACGGUGGUCUUCAGGGAACUUUCGUGCUCAACUAUUGGCCAAUGCAGAAGCUGCAACAGAAAAGAACAAGGCUGUUAUUCUCUUUAACCUGAUUUUUUUUUGGACUUUUUAGUUUUUGCGUAUCUGAUUUUCAAAUAAAUCAGUGAAGAAAUUUGUUUUCUUUUUGGUGACUGCUGUGUCUCUAACUCUAAGUGAAUGGUUGUUAUCCAGAAACCAAGCACUGAAGUGAAUAAUGGAGCAGUGUUGGCAACUGAUGGGGUUGGUGUGCAUAGGAAGAUGUUUGUGUGCAUGACUACAUGGGUUUGCAGGCAGAUAUUAAUGCCAAGAUGAGGUCAAUCCUUGUGGACUGGUUGAUAGAAGUGCAUAGGAAGUUUGAGCUCAUGCCAGAAACUCUUUAUUUGACCUUGAACAAUGCCUUCUUAACAGGCUUUCUGAAUCUCAUGUUGAGCAAAUUACUGGGGAAUUGUCCCUGAUCUUUCAGGGACAGUAUGUGGAGCUUACUUGGCUUAGAAUUAUCAAGUUCCUAACGUCACAAAGUUAGCCGGCACUGCCUUGUUCCUGGCAAAAGUUGUGGAGGAAAAAUACCGCAAGCCCAAGAAGAGGGAUGAUGAUGAUGAUUAGUGCCUAACAGGUGCUAUAUUGGAAUCAGGGCGAUCCUUUUCGGGUUACUUCAACUGACAAAAUGCUGAUCGAGUUACUAUGGCCAGGAUUGGUUGACUCCAUUCGAACACCUAACCUGAUUAACAACAUUACCUUACGUAGAAUUAUCAUAUUCAAUGUGUUUUACAUAAAAUUAUCUAUUACAUAUGCAGAUAAAUGUUCAGUCUUGGGAAAUGAAACACAAUGAUGGUACCUAAUUGUCGUUUGCUUUAACGAUAAGAAAAUUUAUCAUCUGGAUU
Molecule: long non-coding RNA, 1406 nt
Organism: Glycine soja
Lineage: Eukaryota; Viridiplantae; Streptophyta; Magnoliopsida; Fabales; Fabaceae
Exons: 5
Source: RefSeq, a predicted model, not a curated record